GUGCUGGGUGCUGCGUGCUGGGUGCUGCGUGCUGGGUGCUGGGUGCUGGGUGCUGCAUGCUGUGUGCUUCGUGCUGGGUGCUGGGUGCUGCGUGCUGGGUGCUGCGUGCUGGGUGCUGCUGCAUGCUGGGUGCUGGGUGCUGCUGCGUGCUGGGUGCUGUGUGCUGCUGCAUGCUGCGUGGGUGCUGGGUGCUGUGUGCUUCGUGCUGGGUGCUGGGUGCUGCUGGGUGCUGGGUGCUGCAUGCUGGGUGCUGCGUGCUGCGUGCUGGGUGCUGCGUGCUGGGUGCUGCUGCAUGCUGGGUGCUGGGUGCUGCUGCAUGCUAUGUGCUGCGUGCUGGGUGCUGCAUGCUGCUGUGUGCUGCGUGCUGCGUGCUGCACAUCCCCACCAUGCCCACGUACCCAUCCCCACCAUGGCCAUGGAACCAUCACGGUUGGAAAAGUCCUCCAAGACCCCCAAGUCCAAUCCCCCCAUCACCGCUGUGCCCAUGGAACCAUCCAGGUUGGGGAAGUCCUCCAAGACCCCCACCAUGCCCAACCCCAACCCAUCCCCACCAUGCCCACAGAACCAUCCAGGUUGGGAUGGUCCUCCAAGACCCCCAAGUCUGACCCCGAAGUCCGACACCCUUCCANCACCAUGCCCACAGAACCAUCCAGGUUGGGAUGGUCCUCCAAGACCCCCAAGUCUGACCCCGAAGUCCGACACCCUUCCAUUGCUGCCAUGCCCACGGAACCAUCCAGGUUGGAAAGGUCCUCCAAGACCCUCACCAUGCCCAUAGAACCAUCACGGUUGGAAAGGUCCUUCAAGACCCCCAAGUCCAACCCCCUUCCAUCCCCACCAUGGCCAUGGAACCAUCCAGGUUGGGAAGGUCCUCCAAGACCCCCAAGUCUGACCCCAGCCCAUCCCCACUGUGCCCAUAGAACCAUCCAGGUUGGAAAGGUCCUCCAAGACCCCCAAGUCCAACCCCCUCCCAUCCCCACCGUGCCCAUAAAACCAUCCAGGUGGGGAAGGUCCUCCAAGACCCCCACCAUGCCCAACCCCAACCCAUCCCCACCAUGGCCACAGAACCAUCAAGGUUGGGAAGGUCCUCCAAGACCCCCAAGUCCAACCCCCUUCCAUCCCCACCAUGGCCACAGAACCAUCCAGGUUGGAAAGGUCCUUCAAGACCCCCAAGUGUGACCCCUCCCAUCACCGCUGUGCCCACAGAACCAUCCAGGUGGGGAAGGUCCUCCAAGACCCCCAAGUCCAACCCCCUCCCAUUGCUGCCGUGCCCAUAGAACCAUCCAGGUUGGAAAGAUCCUCCAAGACCCCCAAGUCUGACCCCAACCCAUCGCCUCCGUGCCCACAGAACCAUCCAGGUUGGGAAGGUCCUCCAAGACCCCCAAGUCCAACCCCCUCCCAUCCCCACCGUGCCCAUAGAACCAUCCAGGUUGGAAAGAUCCUCCAACACCCCCAAGUCCAACCUCCUCCCAUCCCCACCGUGCCCAUA
RNAcentral lists this long non-coding RNA (1486 nucleotides) under Numida meleagris (helmeted guineafowl). RNAcentral's name for it is "lncRNA (ENSNMEG00000019532.1)". Lineage: Eukaryota; Metazoa; Chordata; Aves; Galliformes; Numididae. The record is from RNAcentral.